RNAcentral lists this microRNA precursor (116 nucleotides) under Mus caroli (Ryukyu mouse). Its description in RNAcentral is "miRNA (MGP_CAROLIEiJ_G0007120.1)". The record is from RNAcentral. Lineage: Eukaryota; Metazoa; Chordata; Mammalia; Rodentia; Muridae.
AAGGCUACAUAGAGAAGAGAAAUCCUGUCCCAGAAAUCAAACAAGUGUGUGGGGGGGGAAUAUAUACAUACAUACAUACACCCACACACACAUACACACAGCUUUUCUUGGAAUUU